Long non-coding RNA from Bubalus bubalis (water buffalo), 466 nucleotides. RefSeq lists it as uncharacterized. Lineage: Eukaryota; Metazoa; Chordata; Mammalia; Artiodactyla; Bovidae. The transcript is spliced from 2 exons. The record is from RefSeq and is a predicted model, not a curated record.
CCUUGGGUCCCAGGACCAGGAGUUUUCUGGCCGCCCCACGGACUAUUUCCGGAGCCUUGUUCCCACCCUGCCCCUCGCCCCCUCUCCCGAGCCCCCAGCCACCUCCCCACGACGCUGCACGCUAGCCAGCGGAGGAUGUGGCAUCUCCUCGCACUGAGUCCUGUCUCUUCCAGCCGCUGGACCACACUCCGACUCCACUGGGGCUCCUUCUGCCUCCCCGUCCACAGGCGUUUACCAGCCACACCAUGCUGGGCCGCCUCAACACGUCCCUGUCUGAUGCCUGGCAUUUUGAAAUGACCGGCUUCCAAAGGCUGGGCACCACCGCCCAGAAAACCUCCCCUAUAGGUCCCGCUGGAUUUGGGUCCUUCCCCGGUCGCCCAUCGUAGCCAUUGUCACACAGAACGUAACCGCCUCUGGACUGGCAGCUCUGAAACCAAUCUCUCCCACCCUGGUCUCCCCACACCCA